Molecule: ribosomal RNA, 426 nt
Filed under: uncultured bacterium
Lineage: Bacteria
Description: bacterial SSU rRNA
Rfam family: Bacterial small subunit ribosomal RNA
Source: RNAcentral
GAUGAACGCUGGCGGAGUGCCUAACACAUGCAAGUCGAGCGGCAGCGCGAGUAGUUUACUACUUGGCGGCGAGCGGCGGACGGCUGAGUAACGCGUGGGAACAUGCCCCAAAGUGAGGAAUAACUGCCCGAAAGGGUAGCUAAUGCCGCAUACGAUCUUCGGAUUAAAGGAUUUAUCCGCUUUGGGAGUGGCCUGCGUACGAUUAGAUAGUUGGUGAGGUAAUGGCUCACCAAGUCUACGAUCGUUAACUGGUUUGAGAGGAUGAUCAGUCAGACUGGAACUGAGACACGGUCCAGACUCCUACGGGAGCAGCAGUGAGGAAUCUUCCACAAUGGACGAAAGUCUGAUGGAGCAACUCCGCGUGCAGGAUGAAGGCCUUCGGGUCGUAAACUGCUUUUAUGAGUGAAGAAUAUGACGGUAACUCGA